AAUAAAUAAGUAAAUAAAUAAAUAGAUACAAGAACUAUUAAACUAAGAAGCACAACCUGCAAAGGAAAAAUGCAAGUUAGACUGGAAGAAAUAAACUCACUCCUCCUGCAACCUGAGAAAAAUAUUUGAAUAAGAAUAAGUGUUCGACUCAGAGAGUUUAGAUAUUGAUGAUAAAUGCAAUUUCUAUAACUAUAUAAAACUAAUGCAAUCCUACCAUGAAAUGCAUACCCAUCACAUAUAAUAAUUAAUUCACCCAGUAUUCGUACGAGAAGUUCACUUGGAGCUAGGGCUAAGCAAAAUUCGGUUCAAACCAAAAAAUCGAACCAAACCGAAUCAAUUCGGU
This 343-nucleotide unclassified non-coding RNA is filed under the name Hevea brasiliensis (rubber tree). Lineage: Eukaryota; Viridiplantae; Streptophyta; Magnoliopsida; Malpighiales; Euphorbiaceae. The record is from RNAcentral.